AACUUGUUGAGCUUCUGUUCUUCUAAAGUCAGUCUGCUGCCAUCUGCUGGAUAAAGAAAUAAAAAGUUCUGUAAUUCUGAUUGAUCAGCUGGCAGUGAUGGAAACAUUUUGGCUCUAGGAGUUCAGAUGUUCCUUGUUGUCUCUGAGUGAUGGUGGAGCUGAUGUGUUGCUGACUCUUCUCCUCUGCCUCCUCCAACAGGAUGAAGAUGAUCUGCUGGAUCCCGCUGCUCAUCAUCAUCAUCAUCCUCAGCUCAUUUCUCUGUGUUUGACUAGAAGAGAAUCAAGCAGAGCUCUGACAGCACAGAGACCAUCAUGAGACAGAAACCUCUAGAGAUGGACUUUAAAGGCUCCCAUGUUCCAGUUCUCAGUGUGUCUGCUCCUCUCUUCCUCUCUCUGUCUCUUCAGCAGCAACAUUUGUAGUGAAUGUGACCCAGAGCUCCUAUCAGGCAGAGGAGAAGCACAACAUCACUCUGGAGUGGACCUUCACCACCAGACCUCAUGGAUCCUGGAGUCAGCUGUUUGUUCUCUGCAGCUUGUUUACUUCUAACAGACAUUCAGUCGUCUUUCAUGUCCAUGAUGGUGUUGAGGUGCCAGAGUCUCAGGAUGAACAGUUCUCAGGACGAGUCCAGAGUGACAAAGACGUCCUCAGAGAAGGACGAAUCAGACUCCAUGUGUCCAGACUGAGGACUGAAGACUCUGGUCUGUAUGUCUGUAAGGUGGAGACUGAUGGAGGCUCAGGCUAUGAAAAAUGUCUCCUCAACGUCUCUGCUGCUGAUCAGAUCCAAACUCAGAGACCAACUUUGACUCCAGAACCAGAGAGACGAGGAACGAUCUUCCUCUACAUCCCACUGGGACUGACAGCAGCAGCUCUGAUGGUUCUGAUGACACCGUUGAUUGUUUGGUUCAGGAGGAAAAGAAGGAAAACAACGUUGAUCGUUUGGUUCUUAAAGGAAAAGAAGAAGAAAACAAAACUGUCAAGUGUCAGAUUUUUCUGAAUGACUGUAUUUUAGUAAUAAGGACGUUGAUCUGUUCCUCGUUUUAUUUCAGGUUGAUGUUUUGAAAUAUUUAUUUCUGUUCUCACCCAGAAGCAAUGAUCUUUAUUGUUCUAAUGCUUUAAUGCUCUAACAGCUGAUUGUUACUGAAGUUGAAGCGCUGUAGAUGAUUUAACAAAAGCUGGAAUACAAUGACAGCUAUAUUAUUCCAGGUUCUGCAGCAGAUAAAUGCUAUGGCACUUUGUUUAUUUGUGCAUUAAUCAGUAUUUUUAAAAGGUGUUAUUUGUAAAAAA
Molecule: RNA transcript, 1285 nt
Organism: Cyprinodon tularosa
Lineage: Eukaryota; Metazoa; Chordata; Actinopteri; Cyprinodontiformes; Cyprinodontidae
Exons: 3
Source: RefSeq, a predicted model, not a curated record